GGACCCAUAGCUCAAUGGUCAGAGCUCCCGGCUCAUAACCGGUUGGUUCUAGGUUCGAGUCCUAGUGGGUCCA
Non-coding RNA from Coprobacillus sp. CAG:826, 73 nucleotides. Lineage: Bacteria; Bacillati; Bacillota; Erysipelotrichia; Erysipelotrichales; Coprobacillaceae. The record is from Rfam.